RNAcentral lists this ribosomal RNA (713 nucleotides) under Escherichia coli. Its description in RNAcentral is "partial 23S ribosomal RNA". It matches the Rfam family "Bacterial large subunit ribosomal RNA", at positions 344 to 1060 of the family's 2925-position model. The record is from RNAcentral. Lineage: Bacteria; Pseudomonadati; Pseudomonadota; Gammaproteobacteria; Enterobacterales; Enterobacteriaceae.
GGAAAGGCGCGCGAUACAGGGUGACAGCCCCGUACACAAAAAUGCACAUGCUGUGAGCUCGAUGAGUAGGGCGGGACACGUGGUAUCCUGUCUGAAUAUGGGGGGACCAUCCUCCAAGGCUAAAUACUCCUGACUGACCGAUAGUGAACCAGUACCGUGAGGGAAAGGCGAAAAGAACCCCGGCGAGGGGAGUGAAAAAGAACCUGAAACCGUGUACGUACAAGCAGUGGGAGCACGCUUAGGCGUGUGACUGCGUACCUUUUGUAUAAUGGGUCAGCGACUUAUAUUCUGUAGCAAGGUUAACCGAAUAGGGGAGCCGAAGGGAAACCGAGUCUUAACUGGGCGUUAAGUUGCAGGGUAUAGACCCGAAACCCGGUGAUCUAGCCAUGGGCAGGUUGAAGGUUGGGUAACACUAACUGGAGGACCGAACCGACUAAUGUUGAAAAAUUAGCGGAUGACUUGUGGCUGGGGGUGAAAGGCCAAUCAAACCGGGAGAUAGCUGGUUCUCCCCGAAAGCUAUUUAGGUAGCGCCUCGUGAAUUCAUCUCCGGGGGUAGAGCACUGUUUCGGCAAGGGGGUCAUCCCGACUUACCAACCCGAUGCAAACUGCGAAUACCGGAGAAUGUUAUCACGGGAGACACACGGCGGGUGCUAACGUCCGUCGUGAAGAGGGAAACAACCCAGACCGCCAGCUAAGGUCCCAAAGUCAUGGUU